UUACUUUUUUUUCUCUUCUGUCAACUGUUGACUCGCUAUCACUGCUAUUACCAAAACUAAUAAUUGAUACUUUUUAAUCUGAUUAUAGCACAAACUAAACCACUAGUUAAGUGCAGGUUUAAAAUGUUUAGCAGCAGAAAAAAAAGGUUAAACUUAAAUUAAGAAUCAUAAAAGAAAGGGAAAAAGGGAAAAGUAAGAAAAAGUAUGAGUCAUCAUUGUUGUUCAGAAAUCCCGCUUGAAAUAAAAAAAACGUGUUUAGUAAAUACCCAAUCAGAAAAUUGUAUGACGUCAGUGGCUAUCCAUUGAAACAUAAAUACAUGAAAAAAUUAAAAUUGUUUCCUCCCAAUUCUCAUUCUCAAGUAUUCGUCAUCCUUAUCAUCAUCAACUAAAUGAAGGAAACGAAAGAAUCUAAAAAAUGUUGCUGACCAAAGGCGAUGUUUCUCUUAUUCAUCUUCUUUCCGGUUCUCAUCUUUUUUUCUUUCUUUUUCUUACUUCUACCACUUCACCAACAACCUCUUUAAGGUGUUCAUCAUCAUAACCACCACCAUCAUAAGAAAGGAGGAGGUGGGGGAAGGGUCAGCAUCCAAAUGAAAAGCGAGAAGGAAGGAACAGAAGAAGGCAAAGAAACAAAUCACUUUCAAGACAAUGUGAUCAAUGUGAUUCCAGUGAAUUACCAAUCAAUAAAUUCUACCUGGUCCUUUCGUUACCUCACUACUCUCACCUCUCACUCUCAACCUUAACUACCUUUAUUAAUUUAACCUUAAAAAGGAGACGGAAUUUACUAUUGGCGUCAACGGAAAAGGCAGGCAUCAAUUAUAAUCGUUUAAUUACAAUCAAACUGGUCGACACUUGACUGUUACAAAAACCCGCGAAAUAACCAUUCCAAUUGGGAUUUCCAGUGCUAAUGUCGCACGCAAAAAAGUUUUCCUUGCUCUUUUUUUUCUUUCUCCUGAUAAUCAUCAAAAUUAUCACCAUUUUCAUUUGUUAAACUCUUUUU
RNA transcript from Tetranychus urticae (two-spotted spider mite), 997 nucleotides. RefSeq lists it as uncharacterized. NCBI's taxonomy places the organism in Eukaryota, Metazoa, Arthropoda, Arachnida, Trombidiformes, Tetranychidae. The record is from RefSeq and is a predicted model, not a curated record.